Long non-coding RNA from Homo sapiens (human), 2043 nucleotides. NCBI's taxonomy places the organism in Eukaryota, Metazoa, Chordata, Mammalia, Primates, Hominidae. The record is from Ensembl.
AGCACACAAGGCUUCCCAAACCCAGGCAGAGCAUCGUGGAUCGCAGACACGCUGACCAUGCAGUUGUGUGAUGGCAACAGAUGACUUGUCUCUUUGUGUCCCUUCCCCAAAAGUACUCAGUAACCUAACAGGCUUCUACCAGCCUCCAAAUAGAAGCAUCUUUUUUUCAAACCCUGAAGGGAUCAAGCAAGCCAGAGGGACAGCAUGCUAUCCCAGUGUCAUGGUGGAAGAACAAGGAACAGGACAUUCAAACAGUGGAUGACCAGGUCCCUACUUCCCAGGACUCGGCUUUCUUUGGAGGGAAGCUUAUCCAUGUUCCCCGAGGACCUACUACACACGUGAUUUCAGAGUGGACUGUUCAGUGUGGCUUGUCUGGGACUUAUAUUCUCAAUCUCAUCAUUGCCUUUCUGUGUCCAAAACCAAAGCAUCAGAGGUACAAGAAGGCAAAACUCCAUUUCCUCUGUGAGCACUGUUCCUGUUUGACUGAGGAAUCUGGCUAGAACAAGAAGAAAUAGGGCCAGAGUUGGGGCUAUGUAUGUAGAAAUUUUGGGUGGAUUUAAAGAAAUCAACGUCUUGGAUUUUGUCACAAGAAAAAUCACUUAGACACCCUACAGUUAUGGAUAAGAAACCAAAUGGAAUGCUUGAUUCAUUCUAUUAUGCUUUUAAGUAACUAUUACAAUGAAUGAUUCAUUAAUUACUAUGAAAGAGCAAGGUUUCAACAAAAACAAAUACGAAUAAAUUAAAUAAUUUCUAGCGAAACUUCAUUUGUUAUGGAAUAGCACCUAAUCUAACUUUUAUUUUGCUAAAUAAAAAAGAGUUUUGGUAUCUUAUUUCAGGUAUUGAAAUGCCUCGGGUCUUGCUCUGGACAAACACAUUGCCCUGGGACCGGCUGCUCACAGCAUUUUGGCUUUGACACGGCAGCUCUGACAUUAAAAAGCCCUUAACUAACCAUUUGCAACAUAUCAGAAAAAAGGUUAAUUUGCCUUUUACGCAUCCUUUACUCUGCUCUGUUGUAGAGGAGAAAAGACAGGACUCUGGUUCUCCUUUCAAAUCAGUUAUGCAUAGAAUAAAGGAAGAGCACAGACAGGCACGGUGGCUCACGCCUGUAAUCCCAGCACUUUGGGAGGCUGAGGCGGGUGGAUCACUUGAGGUCGGGAGUUCAAGACCAGCCUGACCAACAUGGAGAAACUCCGUCUCUACUAAAAAUACAAAAUUAGCCAGGCAUGGUGGCACAUGCCUGUAAUCCCAGCUACUCAGAAGGCUGAGGCAGGAGAAUCGCUUGAACCCAGGUGUCAGAGGUUGCGGUGAGCCAAGAUCGCGCCAUUGCACUCCAGCCUGGGCAACAAGAGCGAAACUCCGUUUCAAAAACAAAAAUAAAGGGAGAGCACUUGAUAGGAAGGCAGCAGACCUGCAUUGAAGUCCUAACCAGUAACAAGCUGUGCUACUCUCAGCAAGUCACUGUCCCACUCUGAGUCUCUAUUUCCUGAUCUGAAAAUAAGGACUUAGUGUAGGUGUCCUUCCCCGUGCCUUUGAUUUUCACAAUCACUCUCUGAAGCAUAUAGUUCAGGAGGUUUUAUUUGAAGCUGAAGAUACAGAAACCCACAGAUCAAGAGCCAGCAAACUACAGCCCAGGGGCCAAACCAGCCCACCUCCUGCUUUUGUACAGCCUGUGAGCUAAGAUGGUUUUCACAUUUUUAAAUGGUUAAAAUAAUUGGUUGGGCAUGGUGGCUCACGCCUGUAAUCCCAGCACUUUGGGAGGCCGAGGCGGAUGGAUCACUUGAGGUCAGGAGUUCGAGACCAGCCUGGCCAACAUGGUGAAACCCCAUCUCUACUAAAAAUACAAAAAUUAGCCGGCUGUGGUGGUGGGUGCCUGUAAUCCCAGCUACUCAGGGGGCUGAGGCAGGAGAAUCACUUGAACUUGGGAGGCGGAGGUUGCAGUGAGCCAAGAUCGUGUCAUUGCACUCCAGCCUGAGUGACAGAGAGAGACUCCAUCUCAAACCAAAAAGAAAAGAAAAGAAGAAAAAAAUCAAAAGAAGAAUGACA